AUUUUCUGUGUCCUUUUAGUUUGUCAUUAACAUGGUAGUUUUUUAUACCUCCGAAAUUAGAGUGUCUUUAUGGUACAUAGAAACUAUUCUAAUUAAAGAAAUUGUACUUUAAAUGAAGAAUCUAUCAGAGUUUCUCAUAAAAUGUUUGCACCUGAGUUAAAAUAGGAACCUUAGUGUUUGUUCUGUCAAGGUUCUUCCCUGCCUCUAUCUCCUGAUGAUUCCUUCUUUUAAAUCCAUGAGUUUAUGUUCAGUGUUUUUAAGCUGAUAAUGUAAAAGCAAUGAGGAACAGCAUUGGGCUUCUGGCAGAAAACUCAGAAACUUGGCAUUCUCCUUGCUUUGCUUACCCUACAUUUAGUUAUUACUAAGCUCUUCAGGUUUCUAUAAUUCCUUCAUAUUCUUACUUUCCUUUUCCUUUUCAUCUAUGACCAUCCCUUUCUAGUCUUUUUCUUUUGUUUGUCCCUACAACUAUUCACUUCAUUCAUUCAUUCAUUCAUUCAUUCANUCAUUCAUGCAUUGUCCUUCCCACAUGUGCCAAAAGUUGCUCUGGGGGUAAUAUCAAGGGUUUUAUACUUUAGUCGGGAGAGGAUCCUGAAAAUAAUUGCUUUGAUGGAGGUACACAGCAAGUAUACCUUACACAUGGCAAAAGGAGCUACUGAUUUGGCUUGGGGCAGUCAGGAAAUGUUUUAUAGAGAAGUUAGUAUUUGAGUAGAGAUUGGAAGGUGUAGAACACUGCCAAAUGGACUAGUGUGGUGGAGAGAGAACAUUCCAAAGGAGACACAGGACGGGUGGCUUAGCACAGAACUAUGCAGGGCAGGGUGUAUGCUCCUUGACGUUUGAGUGAUGGUGAGACACAAAGUGGGAAAGAGGAUGUGGGGCUAGGUGGGGAGGCAGGAAUCACAUCUUGAAGGUCUUCUUAUGUGUUGCUGAGUCUUUCUUCCUGUCUCAUGUCUACAAGUUGCAGUUGCCUGCAGUUCAUCAUUCAUGUGGUGAUGAGGCUAUGUUAAGAAGAGCUCAUCUCCUGCCAAGCUCUUUCCUGGUCUCAUUGUUUCCCAGGGGAAGUCAGACCUUCCUAACCAGUCACUUGAGGGUCUUAGCCAUUUUUCUCUUGUAUUUACUCCAAAAAAUCCUUGACCUCAGCUAGAUUUGCUGCAUUACUCUUCAUACACCGUUUAUCCCUUUCUCUUUCUAGCUUCCUUUUUCAAAAUCCUCCCACCCUCCAAGAUCUCACUCAAAUUCAUAUCUUUUAUGAAGCUUUUCUCCACUCAUGUAAUUUUACCCCCUCUGAAGUCUAGGAGAACUUCUGAGGGACACUUCACAUCACAAUCUCACAUGCUUCUUUAAAUCCCAUGUUAUUUUUAUUACUUUCAGGGGACCACUGUGUGUUACUGGGAUGGGCCACCCGCCUAUUAAGUAUCCUGUCUGUGCGAAAAGAGCAACUUCUUGCAUAUAGUAGGCACUGCAUUGAUAUUUGUUAAAAGGAAUGGAGAGGAACAGCGUUCCUUUAAUUUGUAAGGCUCUUACAGAGCUGGAACUGAGGGAUUGAUUAAUUGUCAUAUGGAAGAGGUAGUGGUUAAUGUAAUGUCCAGAUGAAACUCUUGCAGGGCAGAAAAACUGUCAGUGGAAGGUAGAAGGAUUACAUUCAACAAAAGGCAGGAAUGUGUACAGAAAAGAGAUCCAUUCUGAAAACUAGUUACAUGACCCUAGA
Molecule: long non-coding RNA, 1705 nt
Filed under: Vulpes vulpes (red fox)
Lineage: Eukaryota; Metazoa; Chordata; Mammalia; Carnivora; Canidae
Description: lncRNA (ENSVVUG00000012184.1)
Source: RNAcentral